Molecule: ribosomal RNA, 301 nt
Filed under: uncultured bacterium
Lineage: Bacteria
Description: partial 16S ribosomal RNA
Rfam family: Bacterial small subunit ribosomal RNA
Source: RNAcentral
CAGUCGCCGCGGUAAUACGGAGGGUGCAAGCGUUAAUCGGAAUUACUGGGCGUAAAGCGCACGCAGGCGGUCUGUCAAGUCGGAUGUGAAAUCCCCGGGCUCAACCUGGGAACUGCAUCCAAAACUGGCGAGCUAGAGUAGGGCAGAGGGUGGUGGAAUUUCCUGUGUAGCGGUGAAAUGCGUAGAUAUAGGAAGGAACACCAGUGGCGAAGGCGACCACCUGGGCUCAUACUGACACUGAGGUGCGAAAGCGUGGGGAGCAAACAGGAUUAGAUACCCCAGUAGUCCCUGUCUCUUAUAU